Molecule: ribosomal RNA, 501 nt
Filed under: Metarhizium anisopliae
Lineage: Eukaryota; Fungi; Ascomycota; Sordariomycetes; Hypocreales; Clavicipitaceae
Description: eukaryotic LSU rRNA
Rfam family: 5.8S ribosomal RNA (bases 142-295)
Source: RNAcentral
UCAUUACCGAGUUAUCCAACUCCCAACCCCUGUGAAUCAUACCUUUAAUUGUUGCUUCGGCGGGACUUCGCGCCCGCCGGGGACCCGAACCUUCUGAAUUUUUUAAUAAGUAUCUUCUGAGUGGUUAAAAAAAUGAAUCAAAACUUUCAACAACGGAUCUCUUGGUUCUGGCAUCGAUGAAGAACGCAGCGAAAUGCGAUAAGUAAUGUGAAUUGCAGAAUUCAGUGAAUCAUCGAAUCUUUGAACGCACAUUGCGCCCGUCAGUAUUCUGGCGGGCAUGCCUGUUCGAGCGUCAUUACGCCCCUCAAGUCCCCUGUGGACUUGGUGUUGGGGAUCGGCGAGGCUGGUUUUCCAGCACAGCCGUCCCUUAAAUUAAUUGGCGGUCUCGCCGUGGCCCUCCUCUGCGCAGUAGUAAAACACUCGCAACAGGAGCCCGGCGCGGUCCACUGCCGUAAAACCCCCCAACUUUUUAUAGUUGACCUCGAAUCAAGUAGGACUACC